AUGCUCUUCUUUUCCAUCCCGUCCUCCUCCCAAAUUCUAGCAAUGGCAGAGCCGAUUCCAGCGGAUUCCAGCACCGCGGUCACGCCUCCAGUCUAUCGGAGACGCAAUUCCUCCGAGGAAUCACGCGGCAUUUCAAGUAAUCUGUUCGGUCAAGGAAAUCUCAACCCGUUCUGCACAACUUUUUUCGAUGCAGGCGGCAAGGAUCAUGGAGUGGCCAGCUCUGCAGGGGAGACUAGCCAGGCCGCCAUUUCUGCAGGCCCUCCAGAUAAGCUUGACCCGGAGUCGGCAAAGGCGUGCCUCGAGGUGGAGAAGACGCAGCCCAGGAUCCUCCCUCUUCUGGGGAAACCAUACUUUGCAUGCGUCGUUUGCAAGUCGCAUGUUCAGCAGCCAUUUCAAGUGGUGGUUCCAAGGUCGCUGGCGCCGUUCCUCCCGUCGAAGCCGACGUCGGCGACGCUGACCUGGCAGGGUCGGUCAUGGGAGAUGCGCUUCACAGGGGGGCGGCACAUCCAGCGGCUGGAGGCUGGGUGGCGGAGCUUCGCGCUGGACAACGCGCUGAGGCUCGGCGAUGGCUGCGUGUUCGAGCUGGUGGGGUGCGAUGGCGAGGGCAUCGUGUUCAGGGUGCAGGUGCUGCGCGCCGAGAUCCCGGCGAGUAUCCGGGAGAGGGCGGGCGGGUACACCCCGUCCAGCGCCAUCGUGCUAGACUAG
RNAcentral lists this ribosomal RNA (705 nucleotides) under Triticum aestivum (bread wheat). RNAcentral describes it as "partial small subunit ribosomal RNA". Lineage: Eukaryota; Viridiplantae; Streptophyta; Magnoliopsida; Poales; Poaceae. The record is from RNAcentral.